AUCUGCAACAGACACCGGACUUGAGAGCAAAGACAAUCAUUUUGAUGUCAACAAGGUCGGAGGCAGAGCUUUUUAUCAUCACGCCCAUGCUUUGGCGAUUUCACUGAGCGGCGUUUUGCUUUGAAGGCUGCUCUGUCAUGAAGAGAGUCGGUGAUGAACGAGACACAGACGUAGGUGUAGGUGGGAUCCAGCGGAGGUGGCUGGGCAUCAUUAUCUGCCCGGGAUCAUCCGUACGCCGGGAGAGGCGACACAUAUCCGGAAAAGCUUUGGGGAAGAGACGAGGCUCGCUGACCACAAGAUCAGGAAGAUGGGAGACAUGAAGUCGGAUGGGGUCCUGUGACUUGCCGAUGCCGAUGAGUCAGCGUCACUUCGC
This is a long non-coding RNA of Salarias fasciatus (jewelled blenny), 373 nucleotides long. RefSeq lists it as uncharacterized. The transcript has 3 exons. NCBI's taxonomy places the organism in Eukaryota, Metazoa, Chordata, Actinopteri, Blenniiformes, Blenniidae. The record is from RefSeq and is a predicted model, not a curated record.